AUGUUGCACACUACCGGGGGGAUGAGAACCCCCGACCGGGGUUCGACAACGGGCGGCAGCCCGUUGGACAGACUGGGCGCGCAGCGAACAGACUGCCCGCAGGGCGAGCGUAGCGAGUCAAUCCCCCCCUCACCGCCA
Molecule: small RNA, 138 nt
Filed under: Enterobacter cancerogenus
Lineage: Bacteria; Pseudomonadati; Pseudomonadota; Gammaproteobacteria; Enterobacterales; Enterobacteriaceae
Description: RtT sRNA
Rfam family: RtT RNA
About the family: This family represents a bacterial cis-regulatory element known as RtT RNA.
Source: RNAcentral